This 846-nucleotide long non-coding RNA is filed under the name Nicotiana tabacum (common tobacco). RNAcentral's name for it is "long non-coding RNA (NTAB_LNC000491)". The record is from RNAcentral. Lineage: Eukaryota; Viridiplantae; Streptophyta; Magnoliopsida; Solanales; Solanaceae.
AGGCUCUCCGAAGAACAACAGCGGGCAUGGAGCAUUAGUUAUCAUUUGACGAUACAUUAGAAUUAAGUUGUUAGUUAUCAUCUGUAUUUCAUUAGUUUUGACUUCAUCACCGAAAAAACCAAGAUCGAUUAUGGUUCCAUUACGGACAUGUGGAUUACGUCUUGCAUCGUAGAGGGAAGAACCUUCGACAUCGAACAUAGCAGGCAAACGCAUGCCGCUUGGAUGGUCCCAGUUCCAAUAUGGCAGAGCAAAAGUUGGAUCAUCGAUGAGGGAGCCCAAGAUUCUCUCGUAGAAGUACAAGUACCAUCUAUGAAACGGGAAGAAAAGCCACGAUUGGUGAACUUGUAACUUUUGGUCACCCAUUGUGUAAGCAUCGUUGCAAUAAGCACAAUGGAUAUUAGCUUGUUGCUUGAAGCCAAGAGGAUCAAAUGGGUCUUUGUCUAAUUCCCUCAUUUUACUAGUGGCUAACUGGUACUUGGCUAUAUACUCCUCACUCACGUCUUGGGCAGGGGGCCGCUUACGAAGCUUGGACAUGCGAGGGAUCUUGUAAUAUGGAACGCUGUCCAUAUCAUCUGGUGUAGGGGGGCAACAAGAAUAUGGUACAGUUGGACCAUCCGUUAUCGUGGCCGGGCCACAUGAUUUUAGAUCGGGGGGUGGUACGGGAGCAGCAGAGGCUAAUGGCGCAAGAUUAGUUGCGCCAUACAGCCCUCCUAAACCCAAAAGGACAUUCCUUCUGUCAACAGCUCCUUCUUUAACUGCGUCAAGCUGGUUUCCGUCAUGCUCGCCUGUGCAUGAAACCUUGAAACUUUGGUUACCUUUUCCAUUGAGGAAAAGAUGAGAGGGUUU